This 465-nucleotide ribosomal RNA is filed under the name uncultured bacterium. RNAcentral's name for it is "partial 16S ribosomal RNA". It matches the Rfam family "Bacterial small subunit ribosomal RNA", at positions 28 to 507 of the family's 1533-position model. The record is from RNAcentral.
GAUGAACGCUGGCGGCGUGCUUAACACAUGCAAGUCGAACGAUGAAGCCCAGCUUGCUGGGUGGAUUAGUGGCGAACGGGUGAGUAACACGUGAGUAACCUGCCCUUAACUCUGGGAUAAGCCUGGGAAACUGGGUCUAAUACCGGAUAGGAGCGUCCACCGCAUGGUGGGUGUUGGAAAGAUUUAUCGGUUUUGGAUGGACUCGCGGCCUAUCAGCUUGUUGGUGGGGUAAUGGCUCACCAAGGCGACGACGGGUAGCCGGCCUGAGAGGGUGACCGGCCACACUGGGACUGAGACACGGCCCAGACUCCUACGGGAGGAAGCAGUGGGGAAUAUUGCACAAUGGGCGCAAGCCUGAUGCAGCGACGCCGCGUGGGGGAUGACGGCCUUCGGGUUGUAAACCUCUUUCAGUAGGGAAGAAGCGAAGUGACGGUACCUGCAGAAGAAGCACCGGCUAACUACGUG